Non-coding RNA from Malus domestica (apple), 1268 nucleotides. NCBI's taxonomy places the organism in Eukaryota, Viridiplantae, Streptophyta, Magnoliopsida, Rosales, Rosaceae. The record is from RefSeq and is a predicted model, not a curated record.
CCCCCCUCUCCCGACUCUCUCUCUCAUCUCUCACUCUUCCUGUUUCUGUCCUUCUCAAACCCUAGCGGCCACAACUCCCAUCUCUUCCGUUUCUCUCAUCCUAGAACGGAAGAAAAAUGGAAAAUCAGGGCUCUUCCAUUUGCUUCCACAGAUUUCUCGGGCUCCGGAUCGCUAGCAUCCGUAUGAAGUAUGUUAGAUCUGUUGCCUUCGGGAAGAAAUUUUUAACCUAGAAAAGCUUGGUUUUCAGGAAAUCGUCAAUCCUAACCUGAUGCUCGGUGACCUUUAGGGCAGCUUCAUUCUCUCUUCUUCUCCAACCAUGGUUCCAGAUCCACUGGGCAUCAAGCAAAAUCACCGCCACCACCCAACAAACCCAUUAUCUGGAAUUUCAAUUACUGUGCAUGGAGGGAGUUUUCUGUGGAGGUUUAGUUGAACAUGGAGACAAUAUCCAGUUGCUUGAAGGCAGGAAUGUCUGGUAUUGCUCACCUGUAGGAUUUCCACCUCUAUGAUUGGAAUUUCAACAACAGUAAUACUUGGUUGGGUGGUAAGAUAAAUCCUUUUUGCUCCAUUUGAAUCAUCUUAAUUACUUGGAUUUGAAUUACAACAAUUUUCAAGGAUUGCAGGUUCUCCAACAACCCAUUUAGGUGGAGAUUUGAUUCCAUAUUGUUUACACAUCUAUCUUAAAUGCUGUCUUGCAGAAUCUGUAGUUAAUUCCAAGUUUACUAUCUGAUGUGCUAUUAGAUGCUAUUUUUUGAAGAUUUUUCUUUACAAUUUAGUAAUUGUAUUGCUCCUUUAGCUGUAUGAACUCGGUAAAAGUAUCAGGUUGUGGACUCUGAACUGUUGAUUCUCUACGGUUUCUUCUGCUUUGUCCAAUUGUUAUCAUUAUUCCAAUUGGGUAAUUUUGGGUUUUUAACAAUGUUUAUUUGUUUAUUGAUAAAUUAGGGGGUCUAGACUCUUAAUUGCAGGUGAGAAAAAUAGAGAGCCAGCAAAGCUUCGUUGAGAGGAUGCACGAGUUUUCUGGGAUGGUAAUUGAUCGUUAUGCGGUUUGUAAGUUGGGUUUUUCUAACUGGUGGAUUAUCGAAUUGAUAAAAUUGGUCAAAUUGGUAGAGCAUGAGUUAUGGCAGCAGGAACAGAAGGGGUUAAUUGGUAUUCUACCCGUUCAAGAUGCUGCUGAGGCAGCAACAGUAGACUCUGUGUUGUUUAUCCUUUUUGUUUGUUCAUGAUUAUGUUGAAUGUUUUUCAGGUUAAAUGUGUCUUUUUCAUGUAGUUAA